RNAcentral lists this ribosomal RNA (1348 nucleotides) under metagenome. RNAcentral's name for it is "bacterial LSU rRNA". It matches the Rfam family "Archaeal large subunit ribosomal RNA", at positions 1598 to 2973 of the family's 2987-position model. The record is from RNAcentral.
CGCCUGGAUGUUCAAGCGUCUCAAAUCUGCGGAGAGCCGUAAUGGCGAGAAACAGAUUAAAGCGUGAUGACGUAAGCUGGCAAAUUCCAGGAGUCCGUGAAAAGGGAGCUGAAAGACCGUACCGAGAUCCAACACUGGUGCCCCAAGCUGAGAAGGCUAAGGCGUGUCGGCAUAUGCUAGCUAAGGGAAUUCGGCAAAAUAGCCACGUAACUUCGGGAUAAGUGGUGCCUGCUUUGCAAGAAGCAGGUCGCAGCGACGAGGGGACUCUAACUGUCUAAUAACAACAUAGGUGAUUGCGAAUCCGUAAGGACUAGUACAAUCACUGAAUCCUGCCCAGCGCAGGUACCUGAAAACCCGGUUCAACGGGAAGAAGGGCCUGUCAACGGCGGGGGUAACGAUGACCCUCUUAAGGUAGCGUAGUACCUUGCCGCUUAAUUGGCGGCUUGCAUGAAUGGAUCAAUUAGAGUCCCACUGUCCCUAGCUGGUACCCGGUGAACCUUACGUUCCAGUGCAGAGUCUGGAGACCCCUAAUGGGAAGUGAAGACCCCGUGGAGCUUUACUGCAGCCUGCCGUUGGGUUGUGGUUUUGAUUGUAGAGCAUAGGUAGGAGACGUCGAAGCUCGGGCGCCAGUCCGAGUGGAGUCGCCCUUGGAAUACUACCCUUUCGAAGCUACCGCCCUAACUCUGAGAAGAGGACCUCGGUAGGUGGGCAGUUUGGGUGGGGCGCCACGCCCUUGAAAAGAUAUCAAGGGCGCCCUAAGGUUGACUCAGUUGGGUCGGAAACCCAACAAAGAGUGUAAAGGCAUAAGUCAGCCUGAUGUUACCUCGCAUAGCAAGAGGUGAUAAGACGAAAGUCAGGCUUAGCGAACCUCUCAGCUCUCUUGGUGAGAGCGUUAGAUGACAGAAAAGCUACCCCGGGGAUAACAGAGUCGUCACCGGCAAGAGCACAUAUCGACCCGGUGGCUUGCUACCUCGAUGUCGGUUCUUUCCAUCCUGGCCGUGCAGCAGCGGCCAAGGGUGAGGUUGUUCGCCUAUUAAAGGAGAUCGUGAGCUGGGUUAGACCGUCGUGAGACAGGUCGGUUACUAUCUGUUAGGGGUGUAUUGCGGUCUGAGGGCAGGUUGGUUUUAGUACGAGAGGAACAAGCCAACGGCACCUCUGGUCUAUCGGCUGUCUGGCAAGGCACGCCGAGCAGCUACGUGCUCUCGGAUAAGGGCUGAAAGCAUCUAAGCCCGAAACCGUCCCUGAAAAGAGACCGCUUAGAGUACUCGUAAAAGACGAGUUUGAUAGAGCUGGUGUGUAAGCACCAAGGCAACGAGGUGUUCAGCUCGCAGUUACUAACAACUCCGCU